UGGGGAAUUUUGGACAAUGGGCGCAAGCCUGAUCCAGCAAUGCCGCGUGUGUGAAGAAGGCCUUCGGGUUGUAAAGCACUUUUGUCCGGAAAGAAGUCCGUCUGGCUAAUACCCGGACGGGAUGACGGUACCGGAAGAAUAAGCACCGGCUAACUACGUGCCAGCAGCCGCGGUAAUACGUAGGGUGCGAGCGUUAAUCGGAAUUACUGGGCGUAAAGCGUGCGCAGGCGGUUUUGUAAGACAGAUGUGAAAUCCCCGGGCUUAACCUGGGAACUGCGUUUGUGACUGCAUGACUAGAGUGCGUCAGAGGGAGGUGGAAUUCCGCGUGUAGCAGUGAAAUGCGUAGAGAUGCGGAGGAACACCGAUGGCGAAGGCAGCCUCCUGGGAUGACACUGACGCUCAUGCACGAAAGCGUGGGGAGCAAACA
RNAcentral lists this ribosomal RNA (427 nucleotides) under uncultured bacterium. RNAcentral describes it as "bacterial SSU rRNA". It matches the Rfam family "Bacterial small subunit ribosomal RNA", at positions 355 to 774 of the family's 1533-position model. The record is from RNAcentral.